AGUGAACGCUGGCGGUAGGCCUAACACAUGCAAGUCGAACGGCAGCACAGUAAGAGCUUGCUCUUACGGGUGGCGAGUGGCGGACGGGUGAGGAAUACAUCGGAAUCUACUUUUUCGUGGGGGAUAACGUAGGGAAACUUACGCUAAUACCGCAUACGACCUACGGGUGAAAGCAGGGGAUCUUCGGACCUUGCGCGAGUGAAUGAGCCGAUGUCGGAUUAGCUAGUUGGCGGGGUAAAGGCCCACCAAGGCGACGAUCCGUAGCUGGUCUGAGAGGAUGAUCCGCCACCCUGGAACUGAGACACGGUCCAGACUCCUACGGGAGGACGCAGUGGGGAAUCUUGGACAAAGGGCGCAAGCCUGAUCCAGCCAUACCGCGUGGGUGAAGAAGGCCUUCGGGUUGUAAAGCCCUUUUGUUGGGAAAGAAAAGCAGCAGGUUAAUCCCCCGCUGUUCUGACGGUACCCAAAGAAUAAGCACCGGCUAACUUCGUG
This 492-nucleotide ribosomal RNA is filed under the name uncultured bacterium. RNAcentral's name for it is "partial 16S ribosomal RNA". It matches the Rfam family "Bacterial small subunit ribosomal RNA", at positions 29 to 507 of the family's 1533-position model. The record is from RNAcentral.